CACGGGGGUUGCGAGCGUUGUCCGGAAUUACUAGGCGUAAAGGGCAGGCAGGCGGAUCCAUAAGUUUAUCGUUUAAGGCGUCGGCUUAACCGGCGUAGGGCGGUAGAUACUGUGGAUCUGGAAUGCGGUUGGGGAAGACAGAAUUCCUGGUGUAGCGGUGGAAUGCGCAGAUAUCAGGAGGAACACCAGUGGCGAAGGCGGGUCUCUGGGCCGAAACUGACGCUGAGGAGCGAAAGCGUGGGGAGCGAACAGGAUUAGAUACCCCGGUAGUCCCUGAGCGGG
RNAcentral lists this ribosomal RNA (282 nucleotides) under uncultured prokaryote. Its description in RNAcentral is "partial 16S ribosomal RNA". It matches the Rfam family "Bacterial small subunit ribosomal RNA", at positions 524 to 803 of the family's 1533-position model. The record is from RNAcentral.